GAUGAACGCUGGCGGCGUGCUUAAUACAUGCAAGUCGAACGAUGAAGCCCAGCUUGCUGGGUGGAUUAGUGGCGAACGGGUGAGUAACACGUGAGUAACCUGCCCUUGACUCUGGGAUAAGCGCUGGAAACGGCGUCUAAUACCGGAUACGAGCUUCCACCGCAUGGUGAGUUGCUGGAAAGAAUUUCGGUCAAGGAUGGACUCGCGGCCUAUCAGGUAGUUGGUGAGGUAACGGCUCACCAAGCCGACGACGGGUAGCCGGCCUGAGAGGGUGACCGGCCACACUGGGACUGAGACACGGCCCAGACUCCUACGGGAGGCAGCAGUGGGGAAUAUUGCACAAUGGGCGCAAGCCUGAUGCAGCAACGCCGCGUGAGGGACGAAGGCCUUCGGGUCGUAAACCUUUUUUAGCAGGGAAGAGGCGAAAGUGACGGUACCUGCAGAAAAAGCACCGGCUAACUACGUG
RNAcentral lists this ribosomal RNA (466 nucleotides) under uncultured bacterium. RNAcentral describes it as "partial 16S ribosomal RNA". It matches the Rfam family "Bacterial small subunit ribosomal RNA", at positions 28 to 507 of the family's 1533-position model. The record is from RNAcentral.